AGUGAACGCUGGCGGUAGGCCUAACACAUGCAAGUCGAACGGCAGCACAGUAAGAGCUUGCUCUUACGGGUGGCGAGUGGCGGACGGGUGAGGAAUACAUCGGAAUCUACUUUUUCGUGGGGGAUAACGUAGGGAAACUUACGCUAAUACCGCAUACGACCUACGGGUGAAAGCAGGGGAUCUUCGGACCUUGCGCGAUUGAAUGAGCCGAUGUCGGAUUAGCUAGUUGGCGGGGUAAAGGCCCACCAAGGCGACGAUCCGCAGCUGGUCUGAGAGGAUGAUCAGGCACACGGGGAAUGAGAGACGGUCCAGAGUGGUGGAGGAGGGAGCGGGGGGGAAAAAGGCACAAUGGGAGAAAGCCAGAGCCAGAAAUUCAGCGAGAGUGAUUAAGGCCGUAGGGAAGAAAAGCGCGUUCACCCGGUAUGAUAAGGACAGUACCGUGAGAAUAAGCCACGGCUAACUUCGUG
RNAcentral lists this ribosomal RNA (467 nucleotides) under uncultured bacterium. Its description in RNAcentral is "partial 16S ribosomal RNA". It matches the Rfam family "Bacterial small subunit ribosomal RNA", at positions 30 to 507 of the family's 1533-position model. The record is from RNAcentral.